UACGAAGGGGGCUAGCGUUGCUCGGAUUUACUGGGCGUAAAGGGCGCGUAGGCGGACAGUUAAGUUGGGGGUGAAAGCCCGGGGCUCAACUUCGGAAUUGCCUUCAAUACUGGCUGUCUUGAGUGUGAGAGAGGUGUGUGGAACUCCGAGUGUAGAGGUGAAAUUCGUAGAUAUUCGGAAGAACACCAGUGGCGAAGGCGACACACUGGCUCACUACUGACGCUGAGGCGCGAAAGCGUGGGGAGCAAACAGG
This 253-nucleotide ribosomal RNA is filed under the name uncultured bacterium. RNAcentral's name for it is "partial 16S ribosomal RNA". It matches the Rfam family "Bacterial small subunit ribosomal RNA", at positions 524 to 776 of the family's 1533-position model. The record is from RNAcentral.